UACGAAGGGGGCUAGCGUUGUUCGGAUUUACUGGGCGUAAAGCGCACGUAGGCGGAUCGAUCAGUCAGGGGUGAAAUCCCAGGGCUCAACCCUGGAACUGCCUUUGAUACUGUCGAUCUGGAGUAUGGAAGAGGUGAGUGGAAUUCCGAGUGUAGAGGUGAAAUUCGUAGAUAUUCGGAAGAACACCAGUGGCGAAGGCGGCUCACUGGACUGGUAUUGACGCUGAGGUGCGAAAGCGUGGGGAGCAAACAGGG
Molecule: ribosomal RNA, 254 nt
Filed under: uncultured bacterium
Lineage: Bacteria
Description: partial 16S ribosomal RNA
Rfam family: Bacterial small subunit ribosomal RNA
Source: RNAcentral